Molecule: small nuclear RNA, 105 nt
Organism: Pongo abelii (Sumatran orangutan)
Lineage: Eukaryota; Metazoa; Chordata; Mammalia; Primates; Hominidae
Source: Ensembl
GUGCUUGCUUCAGCAGCACAUAUACUAAAACUGGAAUGAUACAGAGAAGAUUAGCAUGGCCCCUGUGCAAGGAUGAUGCAAAUUCACGAAAUGUUCCAUAUUUUU